UACGUAGGGUGCAAGCGUUAAUCGGAAUUACUGGGCGUAAAGGGCGCGUAGGCGGCCUGUUAAGUCGAACGUGAAAUCCCUGGGCUCAACCCAGGAACUGCGUCCGAUACUGGUUGGCUUGAAUCCGGGAGAGGGAUGUGGAAUUCCAGGUGUAGCGGUGAAAAUGCGUAGAGAUCCGGAGGAACGCCAGAGACGAAGGUGGCUACCUGGCUCUGACCUGACACUGAGGCGCGAAAGCGUGGGGAGCGAACCGG
RNAcentral lists this ribosomal RNA (254 nucleotides) under uncultured bacterium. RNAcentral's name for it is "partial 16S ribosomal RNA". It matches the Rfam family "Bacterial small subunit ribosomal RNA", at positions 524 to 776 of the family's 1533-position model. The record is from RNAcentral.